Molecule: long non-coding RNA, 204 nt
Organism: Zingiber officinale
Lineage: Eukaryota; Viridiplantae; Streptophyta; Magnoliopsida; Zingiberales; Zingiberaceae
Exons: 3
Source: RefSeq, a predicted model, not a curated record
AAUGUAUCAAGGGGUAUCUCAAAAGCAUCAGGUUUUAAACAAUUGACAGGUAAUCUUAAACAAAAUGGUGGUGUUGAAUGUGGAUAUUGUGUGAUGCGGUACAUGAAAGAGAUAGUCUUAGAUGAAUAUCCAUAAUUGGAGAGAAAGUUUGCAGCAUCAAAAAACAAACAGUAUUACAAUCAAUCUCACUAUGAUGAAGUCAGA